RNAcentral lists this ribosomal RNA (492 nucleotides) under uncultured bacterium. RNAcentral describes it as "partial 16S ribosomal RNA". It matches the Rfam family "Bacterial small subunit ribosomal RNA", at positions 29 to 508 of the family's 1533-position model. The record is from RNAcentral.
AGUGAACGCUGGCGGUAGGCCUAACACAUGCAAGUCGAACGGCAGCACAGUAAGAGCUUGCUCUUACGGGUGGCGAGUGGCGGACGGGUGAGGAAUACAUCGGAAUCUACUUUUUCGUGGGGGAUAACGUAGGGAAACUUACGCUAAUACCGCAUACGACCUACGGGUGAAAGCAGGGGAUCUUCGGACCUUGCGCGAUUGAAUGAGCCGAUGUCGGAUUAGCUAGUUGGCGGGGUAAAGGCCCACCAAGGCGACGAUCCGUAGCUGGUCUGAGAGGAUGAGCACCCACAUUGGACAGGAAACCGGUCCCGGCCCCCGAGGGGAGGCGCAGGGGGGGAAUGUGGAACAGAGGGCCCAGGCUUGACCCACCCAUCCGGGGGGGGGAAAAAGGCCUUUUGGUUUUAAAGCCCUUUUUUUGGGAAAAAAAAAGAGGGGGUUAAACCCCCCGUUUUCCGGGGGGACCCAAAAAAAAAACCCCCGCCAACUUCGGGC